This 89-nucleotide unclassified non-coding RNA is filed under the name Pseudomonas cedrina. The record is from RNAcentral. Lineage: Bacteria; Pseudomonadati; Pseudomonadota; Gammaproteobacteria; Pseudomonadales; Pseudomonadaceae.
UGUGGGAGCUGGCUUGCCUGCGAUGACGUCGUGUCAGCCAGGCACCUGCUGACUGACCCACCGCUAUCGCAGGCAAGCCAGCUCCCACA